GAUGAACGCUGGCGGCGUGCUUAACACAUGCAAGUCGAACGAAGCACUUUAUUUGAUUUCCUUCGGGACUGAUUAUUUUGUGACUGAGUGGCGGACGGGUGAGUAACGCGUGGGUAACCUGCCUUGUACAGGGGGAUAACAGUUGGAAACGGCUGCUAAUACCGCAUAAGCGCACGGCAUCGCAUGAUGCAGUGUGAAAAACUCCGGUGGUAUAAGAUGGACCCGCGUUGGAUUAGCUAGUUGGUGAGGUAACGGCCCACCAAGGCGACGAUCCAUAGCCGACCUGAGAGGGUGACCGGCCACAUUGGGACUGAGACACGGCCCAAACUCCUACGGGAGGCAGCAGUGGGGAAUAUUGCACAAUGGGCGAAAGCCUGAUGCAGCGACGCCGCGUGAGCGAAGAAGUAUUUCGGUAUGUAAAGCUCUAUCAGCAGGGAAGAUAAUGACGGUACCUGA
Molecule: ribosomal RNA, 456 nt
Filed under: uncultured bacterium
Lineage: Bacteria
Description: bacterial SSU rRNA
Rfam family: Bacterial small subunit ribosomal RNA
Source: RNAcentral